GACGAACGCUGGCGGCGCGCCUAACACAUGCAAGUCGAACGAGAGAUGAGGAGCUUGCUCUUCAAAUCGAGUGGCGAACGGGUGAGUAACGCGUGAGGAACCUGCCUCAAAGAGGGGGACAACAGUUGGAAACGACUGCUAAUACCGCAUAAGCCCACGGCUCGGCAUCGAGCAGAGGGAAAAGGAGCAAUCCGCUUUGAGAUGGCCUCGCGUCCGAUUAGCUAGUUGGUGAGGUAACGGCCCACCUAGUCAACGAUGGAUAGGGGUUCUGAGAGGAAGGUCCCCCACAUUGGAACUGAGACACGGUCCAAACUCCUACGGGAGGCAGCAGUGAGGAAUAUUGGUCAAUGGGCGAUGGCCUGAACCAGCCAAGUAGCGUGAAGGAUGACUGCCCUAUGGGUUGUAAACUUCUUUUAUAAAGGAAUAAAGUCGGGUAUGCAUACCCGUUUGCAUGUACUUUAUGAAUAAGGAUCGGCUAACUCCGUGCCAGCAGCCGCGGUAAUACGGAGGAUCCGAGCGUUAUCCGGAUUUAUUGGGUUUAAAGGGAGCGUAGAUGGAUGUUUAAGUCAGUUGUGAAAGUUUGCGGCUCAACCGUAAAAUUGCAGUUGAUACUGGAUGUCUUGAGUGCAGUUGAGGCAGGCGGAAUUCGUGGUGUAGCGGUGAAAUGCUUAGAUAUCACGAAGAACUCCGAUUGCGAAGGCAGCCUGCUAAGCUGCAACUGACAUUGAGGCUCGAAAGUGUGGGUAUCAAACAGGAUUAGAUACCCUGGUAGUCCACACGGUAAACGAUGAAUACUCGCUGUUUGCGAUAUACGGCAAGCGGCCAAGCGAAAGCGUUAAGUAUUCCACCUGGGGAGUACGCCGGCAACGGUGAAACUCAAAGGAAUUGACGGGGGCCCGCACAAGCGGAGGAACAUGUGGUUUAAUUCGAUGAUACGCGAGGAACCUUACCCGGGCUUAAAUUGCACUCGAAUGAUCCGGAAACGGUUCAGCUAGCAAUAGCGAGUGUGAAGGUGCUGCAUGGUUGUCGUCAGCUCGUGCCGUGAGGUGUCGGCUUAAGUGCCAUAACGAGCGCAACCCUUGUUGUCAGUUACUAACAGGUGAUGCUGAGGACUCUGACAAGACUGCCAUCGUAAGAUGUGAGGAAGGUGGGGAUGACGUCAAAUCAGCACGGCCCCUACGUCCGGGGCUACACACGUGUUACAAUGGGGGGUACAGAGGGCCGCUACCACGCGAGUGGAUGCCAAUCCCUAAAACCCCUCUCAGUUCGGACUGGAGUCUGCAACCCGACUCCACGAAGCUGGAUUCGCUAGUAAUCGCGCAUCAGCCACGGCGCGGUGAAUACGUUCCCGGGCCU
This 1356-nucleotide ribosomal RNA is filed under the name uncultured bacterium. Its description in RNAcentral is "partial 16S small subunit ribosomal RNA". It matches the Rfam family "Bacterial small subunit ribosomal RNA", at positions 28 to 1381 of the family's 1533-position model. The record is from RNAcentral.